This 476-nucleotide ribosomal RNA is filed under the name uncultured bacterium. RNAcentral's name for it is "bacterial SSU rRNA". It matches the Rfam family "Bacterial small subunit ribosomal RNA", at positions 25 to 507 of the family's 1533-position model. The record is from RNAcentral.
CAGGACGAACGCUGGCGGCGUGCUUAACACAUGCAAGUCGAGCGGAAAGGCUCCUUCGGGGGUACUCGAGCGGCGAACGGGUGAGUAACACGUGAGUAAUCUGCCCUUGGCUUUGGGAUAAGCCCCGGAAACGGGGUCUAAUACCGGAUACGACGCACUCUCGCAUGGGAUGUGUGUGGAAAGUUUUUCGGCCAGGGAUGUGCUCGCGGCCUAUCAGCUUGUUGGUGGGGUAAUGGCCUACCAAGGCUUCGACGGGUAGCCGGCCUGAGAGGGUGACCGGCCACACUGGGACUGAGACACGGCCCAGACUCCUACGGGAGGCAGCAGUGGGGAAUAUUGGACAAUGGGCGGAAGCCUGAUCCAGCAACGCCGCGUGAGGGAUGACGGCCUUCGGGUUGUAAACCUCUUUCAGUACCGACGAAGCGCCGAUGAUGGUGGUGACGGUAGGUACAGAAGAAGCACCGGCCAACUACGUG